This 427-nucleotide ribosomal RNA is filed under the name uncultured bacterium. RNAcentral describes it as "partial 16S ribosomal RNA". It matches the Rfam family "Bacterial small subunit ribosomal RNA", at positions 355 to 774 of the family's 1533-position model. The record is from RNAcentral.
UGGGGAAUAUUGGACAAUGGGCGAAAGCCUGAUCCAGCCAUGCCGCGUGUGUGAAGAAGGUCUUCGGAUUGUAAAGCACUUUAAGUUGGGAGGAAGGGCAUUAACCUAACACGUUAGUGUUUUGACGUUACCGACAGAAUAAGCACCGGCUAACUCUGUGCCAGCAGCCGCGGUAAUACAGAGGGUGCAAGCGUUAAUCGGAAUUACUGGGCGUAAAGCGCGCGUAGGUGGUUUGUUAAGUUGGAUGUGAAAUCCCCGGUCUCAACCUGGGAACUGCAUUCAAAACUGACUGACUAGAGUAUGGUAGAGGGUGGUGGAAUUUCCUGUGUAGCGGUGAAAUGCGUAGAUAUAGGAAGGAACACCAGUGGCGAAGGCGACCACCUGGACUAAUACUGACACUGAGGUGCGAAAGCGUGGGGAGCAAACA